Molecule: microRNA precursor, 89 nt
Filed under: Paramuricea clavata
Lineage: Eukaryota; Metazoa; Cnidaria; Anthozoa; Malacalcyonacea; Plexauridae
Source: RNAcentral
AUGAAGGAUUUGUAAGAAAUGUUUGAGGGAACUUACUCAAUGUUUACAACUAAGUCAGUUUCCUCAAACAUUUCUUACAAAUUCUUCAA